RNAcentral lists this ribosomal RNA (518 nucleotides) under uncultured bacterium. RNAcentral's name for it is "bacterial SSU rRNA". It matches the Rfam family "Bacterial small subunit ribosomal RNA", at positions 27 to 518 of the family's 1533-position model. The record is from RNAcentral.
GGACGAACGCUGGCGGCGUGCCUAAUACAUGCAAGUCGAACGGUCUUUCUAUGGAAGCUUGCUCCACUGAAAAGAUAGUGGCGAACGGGUGAGUAACACGUGGGUAACCUGCCCAUAAGAGGGGGAUAACAUCCGGAAACGGGUGCUAAUACCGCAUAGUUUUCUUGAUCGCAUGAUCGGGAAAGGAAAGACGGCCUUUGUGCUGUCGCUUAUGGAUGGACCCGCGGCGUAUUAGUUAGUUGGUGAGGUAACGGCUCACCAAGACGAUGAUACGUAGCCGACCUGAGAGGGUGAUCGGCCACAUUGGGACUGAGACACGGCCCAAACUCCUACGGGAGGCAGCAGUAGGGAAUCUUCCGCAAUGGACGAAAGUCUGACGGAGCAACGCCGCGUGAGUGAAGAAGGUUUUUUCGGAUCGUAAAACUCUGUUGUCAGAGAAGAACAAGUUGGAGAGUAACUGCUCCAGCCUUGACGGUAUCUGGCCAGAAAGCCACGGCUAACUACGUGCCAGCAGCUGC